Molecule: long non-coding RNA, 797 nt
Organism: Salvia miltiorrhiza (redroot sage)
Lineage: Eukaryota; Viridiplantae; Streptophyta; Magnoliopsida; Lamiales; Lamiaceae
Exons: 2
Source: RefSeq, a predicted model, not a curated record
ACCCCGUUUCCUCGUAGCUAUAUUUAGAGUAUUUUUUAACUUAGAUUUAAGAAGAUUCACGCCGGAUUGAGAAAAAGAAUUUAUUUUAAUUCCAACGAAAAUGAUUUACAAAAGCAUUUGUAAAUUUAGUUAUUAAAUUUAUAUGCAUUGCAUAUUUAUUUAAUUUAACAUUCAAGCAUUUUCACGAGCUUUUAAUUAGCAAACCCUGAAGUAGUAUUACAGUUACGACAAUUUUAUCCUGAGGAAUUUAAAUUGUCCAAUCAUAGCCGCCCACCCUAUGCCUCAUAGCCGCCCACUCUACAGCCCAAUUCCAGCCCCAAAAGUCAGGCUGUGUAGAUCCCAACUUUUCUACCAAAUCAAAUGCAGAUCCCAACUUUUCUACCAAAUCAAAUGCGCCAUAUUAGUUUGACAUUUCCCACACCCACCUACUCCCUCAUUUUUGCAAACUUAAUAUAGCUGGGUUGAUCCGAGCUUCCAUCUUCCAUCCUACACAAUCAUCCAACAUAUUGCAUCUCUCUCACAAGAAAAUCCGAAGCUCAAGAAUUUCAGCAACUAAGCAUAUACAGAAACUGAUCCAGCAGAAUCCUUAUAAAGGCUUUAUGAACCAAGGGGAUUAGCGCUGCUUUCCCAAGACGAGUUUAUGUGAUUAUGAUCUUCAGGUUUUGCCUAUCCAGGUGGGCUUACUUUCCAAAUGUACAAAGUAUGAUUGAGUUAUUAAGCUCUAAAUGUUUUCAAUGAAAUGCAAAUUGUUUAUUUAAUGUAAUGAAAACUGUUUAUCCAAUAAAAUAUUUUGUGCA